AUCGAUCUUCGAGAGGAAGGAGCUUUCCUGGACACGAUGUUAUUAUACCUGAAAGCAGAGACUGGUGUGGUAGGGAGCAUGAAGCUAGAACACAUUCAAGGGCUUCAGAGUGGUUCUGGGGAGAGGGAGAGGGUAGGUGAAGGAGAACUCUAAGCUUAGGAACCUACAGACAGUAGCUACCGGGCAGAAGUCACCCAACAGGAUGGCUUUGUCACGGGGCUCAAUUGGCGUUUAACAGAUUUACUUCACGGGAGGCACACUUAUGCUUUCUAAGGAUAAAUGAAUGCUUUGGGAUUUAAUGGACAAGAUGUCAGAAUUUAAACGCAUCAAAAAAUCAGUGGUUUUAAUGAACUUACCAGUAAAUAUGUACUACCCACAAAAGAUUUGGAAAAUCAGCUACUCUGAAAAAUUAUUAUUUAUAUGU
Molecule: long non-coding RNA, 424 nt
Filed under: Mus pahari (shrew mouse)
Lineage: Eukaryota; Metazoa; Chordata; Mammalia; Rodentia; Muridae
Description: predicted gene 15562 (MGP_PahariEiJ_G0033068.1)
Source: RNAcentral